This 232-nucleotide long non-coding RNA is filed under the name Elaeis guineensis (African oil palm). Its description in RNAcentral is "long non-coding RNA (EGUI_LNC008123)". The record is from RNAcentral. Lineage: Eukaryota; Viridiplantae; Streptophyta; Magnoliopsida; Arecales; Arecaceae.
GUAGAGAUGUUACUUACUGACUUGAGUUCAUCCAUGCCAACUAGAUAGGUCAGACAUGUGAAUGUGCUGACCUGAACUUUUCAGUCAGAUAUCAAAUCUAAUGAUUUAGAAGAGACCUGAACCUAAAUCUUCUCACUAAAUAUUAAGUCUAAUAGUCUUCCACUAUUAUAGAGAUGUGGGUGUCUUCUUGAUAUUGAUCAUUCUCGACUGAUUAUAGUAGUUCGGUUGUAUC